Molecule: ribosomal RNA, 253 nt
Filed under: uncultured bacterium
Lineage: Bacteria
Description: partial 16S ribosomal RNA
Rfam family: Bacterial small subunit ribosomal RNA
Source: RNAcentral
UACCCGCGGCGCGAGCGGUGAUCGGUUUUAUUGGGCGUAAAGCGCUCGUAGGUGGCGUUGUAAGUCGGGUGGGAAAGAACCGGGCUUAACAUUUGAAUUGCAUUCGAGACUGCAUUGCUGGGGUACGGACGAGGACAGCGGAAUUCCCGGUGUAGCAGUGAAAUCCGUUAAUACCGGGAGGAACAUCAGUGGCGAAGGCGUCCCUCUUGAACAGUUCUGACACUCAAGUGCGAACGCGAGGGGAGCAAACCGG